Myotis davidii is the source of this 87-nucleotide non-coding RNA. The record is from Rfam. Lineage: Eukaryota; Metazoa; Chordata; Mammalia; Chiroptera; Vespertilionidae.
AGAGGCCCUCCAUGGCAGAGGUGGAAUGCUUGUCUCGUUGCCAGGGCAACGAGACAAGCAUUCCACCAUGCCACUCAUGCUGCCUGC